AGCACUUAGAACUUGCAAGCCUGAUGUCCUA
Molecule: non-coding RNA, 31 nt
Filed under: Homo sapiens (human)
Lineage: Eukaryota; Metazoa; Chordata; Mammalia; Primates; Hominidae
Source: RNAcentral